GCUGGGCAUGGUGGCGCAUGCCUGUAAUCCCAGCGACUCGGGAAGCUGAGACAGGAGGAUUGCAAGUUUGAGGCCAGCCUUAGCAACUUAGUGAGGCUCUAAGCAACUUAGCAAGACCCUGUCUCAA
This 127-nucleotide small RNA is filed under the name Marmota monax (woodchuck). The record is from RNAcentral. Lineage: Eukaryota; Metazoa; Chordata; Mammalia; Rodentia; Sciuridae.